RNAcentral lists this ribosomal RNA (447 nucleotides) under uncultured bacterium. RNAcentral's name for it is "bacterial SSU rRNA". It matches the Rfam family "Bacterial small subunit ribosomal RNA", at positions 329 to 792 of the family's 1533-position model. The record is from RNAcentral.
UGCCAGACUCCUACGGGAGGCAGCAGUGGGGAAUAUUGCACAAUGGGGGAAACCCUGAUGCAGCGACGCCGCGUGAGUGAAGAAGUAUUUCGGUAUGUAAAGCUCUAUCAGCAGGGAAGAAGAAGGACGGUACCUGAGUAAGAAGCCCCGGCUAACUACGUGCCAGCAGCCGCGGUAAUACGUAGGGGGCAAGCGUUAUCCGGAUUUACUGGGUGUAAAGGGAGCGUAGACGGCGAUGCAAGCCAGAUGUGAAAGCCCGGGGCUCAACCCCGGGACUGCAUUUGGAACUGUGUGGCUGGAGUGUCGGAGAGGCAGGCGGAAUUCCUAGUGUAGCGGUGAAAUGCGUAGAUAUCAGGAGGAACACCGGCGGCGAAGGCGGCCUGCUGGACCGUAACUGACGUUGAGGCUCGAAAGCGUGGGGAGCAAACAGGAUUAGAUCCCCUAGUA